Molecule: long non-coding RNA, 1305 nt
Filed under: Nicotiana tabacum (common tobacco)
Lineage: Eukaryota; Viridiplantae; Streptophyta; Magnoliopsida; Solanales; Solanaceae
Description: long non-coding RNA (NTAB_LNC003286)
Source: RNAcentral
GCGCUUGAAAGCCACAAGGUUCAAUGUGCAAACGAAAAUGGGCACUAAGCCAACGUACAAAAGUAUCUAUUAUGAAGGAAACUUGCGAACCUAACAGGACAGUUGAUUUCCUUUAACUCCAACAUGGUAUUUUCACCAAUGACAAAAUGACAGCUUUAACUUUUUUCAUUCUUGUCAAAAAUGAAAGUAUUCUCAAUGCUCCACACUCAUGCAUAUAUCUAGUGUAUUAAGAUGUACGCUAUGUACGGACUGCGUAUUUACAACUCCACUAUUUGGGCAAACCAAAAGAAUGUCAAUUGAAACUUCCUUAUGCCAAGACCUCUGCCUUUAAAACAAGCUCUAGUUCCUCUGUUACGACAUAAUUUCAACACAUCAAACCCAUAUCUUAUACUAUCAACAAACUAUAUUUUUUCGAACAUAUUACUACUAAUUAUCUUUGCAUUUUUUUUCAACUAACACCCAAGAGAGACGAAACCAAAUCAUAUAUAUUUAAAAAAAAAAACAUUUCCUCAGACAGAUACGCGAAAUAUUCAACACUUAAGAUCUAAAGAUUGCAUCAGGGAGAAAACGACCCUGCAAUUGCAUAUUCAUACUGAGGCUAAUUCAAACAAAUAAAUCCAAACAUUUCAUGAAACAAAGAAUGACAAAGUUGAUGGAAGUACACUAUUAAGCACAACAGAGUACGAGAAAUUGAGGAACCAAACCUCAAAAAUGAAUCAGAAUAUUGAUAGCGAGGUAGCGCUGAACUCAAAAACGCGACAAACUAUGGAUGAACCUCGACGCACCGGACCUCGAUGGACCUCUGACCGGAAACGGAAUUAUGUCCAGGCCUCUAGCUUGCCGGAACUGCGACAACAUGCAACAACAGCAGUAGCUACUCGUGGGUGUCGCUGCUUAGGAUUCAAUAGGGGGUCUUCGGCACUCUUUUUUUUUUGAUUUUUUGUUGAGGAAGGUGUUGGUUAAGGUGAGGGCUGAAGUUCAGUGGUCGUUUGGGUGGGGGAUGUGAAGGAGACGAUCCGAGGGGUGGGUCGUUCUGCGCGCAGCUUUUCUUAGCUUUCUUUUUCCUUUAUGCGCAGCUUUUGCUGUUUCUUUUUGUCGUUCUCCUCCCACUCUAUUUGUGUUGAUACCCUACUGAAGUUAUGGUGUGUUCAUAGUGACCUUUGAAGAAGAGUGAAGGGAUGACGAUGGAUGGUGUUGAAGGGGCUGUUGUGAUGGUGUCGCGGCUGAGUGAGAAACAACGACGGGGGAAUUGGAGGGGUCUGUUUUCGCUGAGUUGAUGAAGGGGGGGUCGUGUGUAGAAGUAGG